AGAGUUUGAUCCUGGCUCAGAUUGAACGCUGGCGGCAUGCCUUACACAUGCAAGUCGAACGGCAGCACGAGAGCUUGCUCUCGGUGGCGAGUGGCGAACGGGUGAGUAAUAUAUCGGAACGUACCCUAGAGUGGGGGAUAACGUAGCGAAAGUUACGCUAAUACCGCAUACGAUCUACGGAUGAAAGUGGGGGAUCGCAAGACCUCAUGCUCAUGGAGCGGCCGAUAUCUGAUUAGCUAGUUGGUGGGGUAAAAGCUCACCAAGGCGACGAUCAGUAGCUGGUCUGAGAGGACGACCAGCCACACUGGAACUGAGGCACGGUCCAGACUCCUACGGGAGGCAGCAGUGGGGAAUUUUGGACAAUGGGCGCAAGCCUGAUCCAGCAAUGCCGCGUGAGUGAAGAAGGCCUUCGGGUUGUAAAGCUCUUUUGUCAGGGAAGAAACGGUGGACUCUAAUACAGAUCACUAAUGACGGUACCUGAAGAAUAAGCACCGGCUAACUACGUGCCAGCAGCCGCGGUAAUACGUAGGGUGCAAGCGUUAAUCGGAAUUACUGGGCGUAAAGCGUGCGCAGGCGGUUGUGCAAGACAGAUGUGAAAUCCCCGGGCUCAACCUGGGAAUUGCAUUUGUGACUGCACGGCUAGAGUGUGUCAGAGGGGGGUAGAAUUCCACGUGUAGCAGUGAAAUGCGUAGAGAUGUGGAGGAAUACCGAUGGCGAAGGCAGCCCCCUGGGAUAACACUGACGCUCAUGCACGAAAGCGUGGGGAGCAAACAGGAUUAGAUACCCUGGUAGUCCACGCCCUAAACGAUGUCUACUAGUUGUCGGGUCUUAAUUGACUUGGUAACGCAGCUAACGCGUGAAGUAGACCGCCUGGGGAGUACGGUCGCAAGAUUAAAACUCAAAGGAAUUGACGGGGACCCGCACAAGCGGUGGAUGAUGUGGAUUAAUUCGAUGCAACGCGAAAAACCUUACCUACCCUUGACAUGUCUGGAAUCCUUGAGAGAUCAGGGAGUGCUCGAAAGAGAAUCAGAACACAGGUGCUGCAUGGCUGUCGUCAGCUCGUGUCGUGAGAUGUUGGGUUAAGUCCCGCAACGAGCGCAACCCUUGUCAUUAGUUGCUACGAAAGGGCACUCUAAUGAGACUGCCGGUGACAAACCGGAGGAAGGUGGGGAUGACGUCAAGUCCUCAUGGCCCUUAUGGGUAGGGCUUCACACGUCAUGCAAUGGUACAUACAGAGGGCCGCCAACCCGCGAGGGGGAGCUAAUCCCAGAAAGUGUAUCGUAGUCCGGAUUGUAGUCUGCAACUCGACUACAUGAAGUUGGAAUCGCUAGUAAUCGCGGAUCAGCAUGUCGCGGUGAAUACGUUCCCGGGUCUUGUACACACCGCCCGUCACACCAUGGGAGCGGGUUUCACCAGAAGUGGGUAGCCUAACCGCAAGGAGGGCGCUCACCACGGUGGGAUUCGUGACUGGGGUGAAGUCGUAACAAGGUA
This 1491-nucleotide ribosomal RNA is filed under the name metagenome. Its description in RNAcentral is "bacterial SSU rRNA". It matches the Rfam family "Bacterial small subunit ribosomal RNA". The record is from RNAcentral.